Molecule: ribosomal RNA, 253 nt
Filed under: uncultured bacterium
Lineage: Bacteria
Description: partial 16S ribosomal RNA
Rfam family: Bacterial small subunit ribosomal RNA
Source: RNAcentral
UACGGAGGGUGCAAGCGUUAAUCGGAAUUACUGGGCGUAAAGCGCGCGUAGGCGGUUUGUUAAGUCGGAUGUGAAAUCCCCGGGCUCAACCUGGGAACUGCAUUCGAUACUGGCAGGCUAGAGUACGAGAGAGGGGGGUAGAAUUCCUAGUGUAGCGGUGAAAUGCGUAGAUAUUAGGAGGAAUACCAGUGGCGAAGGCGGCCCCCUGGCUUGAUACUGACGCUGAGGUGCGAAAGCGUGGGGAGCAAACAGG